Oncorhynchus keta (chum salmon) is the source of this 3343-nucleotide long non-coding RNA. RefSeq lists it as uncharacterized. The record is from RefSeq and is a predicted model, not a curated record. NCBI's taxonomy places the organism in Eukaryota, Metazoa, Chordata, Actinopteri, Salmoniformes, Salmonidae. The transcript is spliced from 3 exons.
GUUCUACGUAUGGGUGGUCCCGGAAUCAACCCUGGCGUUACAAGCGCCAUGCUCUACCAACUGAGCCACAGAAGGACCACUGCUACCUGAGCUGGUUGUUUUGACUGUGAUGAUGAUGAUGGUGUUUGUCAGGUUGUUUUUCUACUGUGUUUACGUCCACUGUGUCCCUACUACAGUACAUGGCUCCUGUUAUAGCUGCUGGCAUUGAAUAGGGAAGUCGUUCUGCAAAGCUCUGUAACAAAUGCCUCCCUAUUCCCUAUGGGCCCUAUGGGUCGUGGUCAAAAGUAUGCACUAUGUAGGGAAUAAGGUGCAUUUUGGGAUGCAUCCUCAGUCUGUCCUGCUCCUCAGAGGUCAGAGGUCAGAGGCCUGUUGGGAUGCAUCCUCAAUCUGUCCUGCUCCACAGAGGUCAGAGGUCAGGGGCCUGUUGGGAUGCAUCCUCAAUCUGUCCUGCUCCACAGAGGUCAGAGGUCAGAGGCCUGUUGGGAUGCAUCCUCAAUCUGUCCUGCUCCACAGAGGUCAGAGGUCAGAGGCCUGUUGGGAUGCAUCUUCAAUCUGUCCUGCUCCACAGAGGUCAGAGGUCAGAGGCCUGUUGGGAUGCAUCCUCAAUCUGUCCUGCUCCUCAGAGGUCAGGGGCCUGUUGGGAUGCAUCCUCAGUCUGUCCUGCUCCUCAGAGGUCAGGGGCCUGUUGGGAUCCAUUCCAAUAGAAGUUUGUCAAUUCAGGAAAUAAACUGAAAUUAUAAUUCAAUAAAUUACAAUUAUUUCUCAAUAAACUGAAAAUGAGAAGCUAUUUAUUUCAGAAAGGUUUUUCGGUUUUAAUUAGGAAUCAGAUGGUGUUAAGAGUCUGAGUUUUCAGAAAGGUAUUUUCUCUGUUGACGCUGUCAUCUAGAUGAUCUGCUGUGUCCAGUUUAACCUCUAGCGUCGAGCAAUCCCGUAUCCGGGAGCGUAAUCAUAGCCUCAAGCUCAUUAGCAUAACGCAACGUUAACUAUUCAUGAAAAUCGCAAAUGAAAUGAAAUAAAUAUAUUGCCUCAUAAGCUUAGCCUUUUGUUAACAACACUGUCAUCUCAGAUUUUCAAAAUGUGCUUUUCAACUAUAGCUACACAAGCAUUUGUGUAAGAGUAUUGAUAGCUAGCAUAGCAUUAAGCCUAGCAUUCAGCAGGCAACAUUUUCACAAAAACAAGAAAAGCAUUAAAAAAAAAAUAAUUUACCUUUGAAGAACUUCGGAUGUUUUCAAUGACGAGACUCUCAGUUAGAUAGCAAAUGUUCAGUUUUCCCAAAAAUAUUACUUGUGUAGGAGAAAUCGCUCCGUUUUGUUCAUCACAUUUGGCUGUGAAAAAAAACAAAUUCAGUCAUUACAACGCCAAACUUUUUUCCAAAUUAACUCCAUAAUAUCGACAGAAACAUGGCAAACGUUGUUUAGAAUCAAUCCUCAAGGUGUUUUUCACAUAUAUAUUCGAUGAUAAACCAUUUGUGGCAGUUGGGUUACUCCUCUGAACCAAAUGGAAAAAUACACGCAGCUGGAGAUUACGCAAUUAUUUUGACGGAGGACACCAAGCGGGCACCUGGUAGAUGUAGUCUCUUAUGGUCAAUCUUCCAAUGAUAUGCCUACAAAUACGUCACAAUGCUGCAGACACCUUGGGGAAACGGCAGAAAGUGUAGGCUCAUUCCUUGCGCAUUCACAGCCAUAUAAGGAGACAUUGGAACACAGCGCAUUCAAAAUCUGGGGCAUUUCCAGUCUGAAACUUCAUCUUGGUUUCGCCUGUAGCAUUAGUUCUGGGGCACUCACAGAUAAUAUCUUUGCAGUUUUGGAAACGUCAGAGUGUUUUCUUUCCAAAGCUGUCAAUUAUAUGUAUAGUCGAGCAUCUUUUCGUGACAAAAUAUUGUUUAAAACGGGAACUGUUUUUAUCCAAAAAUUAAGAGUGCCCCCUAUAUCGAAGAAGUUAAAUGAAUCCAUGUUAGUGUCGACGGACCACCGAGACACCACCUGUGUUAAUUAGAUAUCUAGCAUGCACCUGACACCUGUGCUAAUUAGAUAUCUAGCAUGCACCUGACACCUGUGCUAAUUAGAUAUCUAGCAUGCACCUGAAACCUGUGCUAAUUAGAUAUCUAGCAUGCACCUGACACCUGUGCUAAUUAGAUAUCUAGCAUGCACCUGACACCUGUGCUAAUUAGAUAUCUAGCAUGCACCUGACACCUGUGCUAAUUAGAUAUCUAGCAUGCACCUGACACCUGUGCUAAUUAGAUAUCUAGCAUGCACCUGACACCUGUGCUAAUUAGAUAUCUAGCAUGCACCUGACACCUGUGCUAAUUAGAUAUCUAGCAUGCACCUGACACCUGUGCUAAUUAGAUAUCUAGCGUGCACCUGACACCUGUGUGUAAUGGAAGCAGACCGGCAGAAAACGUGUUGUCACUGAAAUAUACUGUCGGCUGAAACUGUGAUAUAGCUGGUCAACACGGUGUACAGCAGCAGUGUAAAAAAUACAUUCUCAUACUUGAGUAAAAGUAAAGAUACUUUAAUGGAUAAUGACUCAAGUGAAAGUGAGUCACCCAGUAAAAUACUACUUGAGUAAAAGUCUUUGGUUUUAAAUAUACAUCAGUAUAAAAAGUAAACAUAAUUGCUAAAAUAUACUUGCGGAUCAAAAGUAAUCGUAUAAAUCAUUUAAAGUUCUUUAUAUUAAGCAAAGCAGAUGGCGCCACAAUUUACAAACUAAGCAUGUGUGUUUAGUGAGUCCAGCAGAUCAAAGGCAGUAGGGACGACCAGGUUCUAUUGAUAAAAUGUAUAAAUUAGACCAUUUUCCUGUCCUGCUAAGCAUUCAAAAUGUACUUUUUGGGUGUCGGGGGAAAAUGUAUGGAGUAAAAAGUACAUUUUAUUUAGGAAUGUAGUGAAGUAAAAAUAUAUAUGAAGUACAGAUAAAUAUAAUAAAGUACACAUACCCCAAAAACGUUUAACUGAAGGACUUCACACCACUUCAGUAAAUGUGUAUUUUACAUUUGUGAAAUGAUUUCGAUGUGAUAUGAAAGUGACAAGGGUUUUAUGUUUCUAUCGCAGUUUUAGAAUCUGAUUCAUGUUUAGAUGGAGUGUCUGUUUUGGCUUCAGAGUAUCCCUCUGAAAAUAACAGAAGGGCCUUGGAGUAACAUUUAGGCCCCUUUUAGAGGUCAUCUUGGGCCAGAACUGGCCCUGUUGUAAAGCUGGCACCACCAUCCUCCACAUCUCAACCCUGGAAACAGAAACGAGGGGAGAGUCUGGACACCGAGGCCCACAGUGAGACCGUUUGGACUACAGGUCACAAAGCUCCUCUGCUCUCCAGGAGCUGGACCUCUCUCCUGCUUCAGCAACACCUGGAC